CCUACGGGUGGCAGCAGUGGGGAAUAUUGCACAAUGGGGGAAACCCUGAUGCAGCGACGCCGCAUGAGUGAAGAAGUAUUUCGGUAUGUAAAGCUCUAUCAGCAGGGAAGAAAAUGACGGUACCUGAUUAAGAAGCCCCGGAUAACUACGUGCCAGCAGCCGCGGUUAAACGUAGGGGGCAAGCGUUAUCCGGAUUUACUGCGUGGAAAGGGAGCGUAGACGGCAGAACAAGUCUGGAGUGAAAUGGCGGGGCUUAACCCCGGAGCUGCGUUGGAAACUGUGCAGCUAGAGUGCAGGAGAGGUAAGUGGAAUUCCUAGUGUAGCGGUGAAAUGCGUAGAUAUUAGGAGGAACACCAGUGGCGAAGGCGGCUUACUGGACUGUAACUGACGUUGAGCCUCGAAAGCGUGGGGAGCAAACAGGAUUAGAUACCCUAGUAGUC
RNAcentral lists this ribosomal RNA (440 nucleotides) under uncultured bacterium. RNAcentral's name for it is "partial 16S ribosomal RNA". It matches the Rfam family "Bacterial small subunit ribosomal RNA", at positions 338 to 795 of the family's 1533-position model. The record is from RNAcentral.